RNAcentral lists this unclassified non-coding RNA (2012 nucleotides) under Hevea brasiliensis (rubber tree). Lineage: Eukaryota; Viridiplantae; Streptophyta; Magnoliopsida; Malpighiales; Euphorbiaceae. The record is from RNAcentral.
AUUUUCCCUAUUUAGCUUCAUUUCUGCAAGAUUUAAUCAUAAUUGAUACCGGAAAUACUACCGCCGGCCGUAUUUCUUUUUGACUUCGGUGUUGAAUUCGGAGUUUUGAAGUCUAAUGUAUUGAUCUGUUAAAUUUGUGAGUUAUUGAAUUGAAGAAAAUGGCGGGGGCAAGUCAAGGAGGACCAAAUAUGGAUCAAUUUGAACUUUUCUUUCGUAGAGCUGAUUUGGAUCAAGAUGGGAGAAUCAGUGGUGUUGAAGCCGUUGGUUUUUUGAAAGGAUCUAACUUGCCUCAACCUGUUUUAGCUCAGAUAUGGACACAUGCUGACCAGAGCCGUACUGGGUAUCUUAGCCGUCCGGAGUUUUAUAAUGCUCUUAAACUUGUAACAGUGGCACAGAGUAAACGAGAAUUAACACCAGAUAUUGUGAAGGCAGCUUUAUAUGGUCCUGCUUCUGCUAAAAUCCCUGCUCCACAGAUUAACCUUGCAGCGGUUGCUUCUCCCCAAUCAAAUUCAGUUGGUGCUGCACCUGCACAACAGAUGGGUGCUGGUUUACCAACAGCCUCUCAAAAUUUUGGCAUCAGAGGACAGCUACCUCAUGCAACAGGUAUGAACCAACAAUAUCUAACUUCUCAAGCCGGCCACUCUGUGAGGCCACCUAUUCCUACUGCAGCUACUGCAUCACGUCCCCAGCAAUUUGUUGCUGGCAUGAAUUUCCCCAGGGGUGGAAGUUUUACAGGUCCUGGUCUUCCAAACUCGAACAGUUCAAAUGACUAUCUCGGGAGCAGACAAGCAGCAAUAUCCACUGGACCUACUAUGCAGCCUCCUAAUAGAGGAAUGAGCCCUUUGGUCCCUCCAGUUACGCAAACUCUUCAGGGAUCUCUUUCACUACCUUCCAUGACAGAAGUUAAUACAAAAGCUACUGGUAGUUCUGGUAAUGGUUUUGCGUCGGACACAAUGUUUGGUGGUGAAACCUUCUCCGCAAGCCAAUCUGUACCAAAGAAGUCUUCGUCUACUCCAAACUUUUCUAUGAUGAGUUCUCCCACUUCUUCAGCUAUGGUUCCAGUAACCACCGAGUCUCACGCUUCAGCCAAGCCUGACCCCUUUGCUGCAUUUAAUACUCUUACAAGGCAAUCUCCUGGGAAUCAGCAGCCAGUAACCCCAUCUGUGUCUAAACCUAAUCAACAGGCUUCUGUUCAGAAUAUUUUGCCAGUGUCAUCAUCUGGAACUCCAGCGGGUUCUGUACCUCCUACUCCUGAGCAGCCACAAGUUCCUUGGCCAAAAAUGACAAGAGCAGGAGUUCAGAAGUAUGCAAAAGUGUUUAUGGAGGUGGAUUCAGACAGAGAUGGAAAAAUCUCCGGUCAACAAGCGCGGGAUUUAUUCUUGAACUGGAGACUGCCAAGAGAGGUCUUGAAGCAGGUAUGGGACUUGGCUGAUCAAGAUAAUGACAGCAUGCUCUCUUUGAGGGAGUUCUGUGUAGCUCUGUAUUUGAUGGAACGAUAUAGGGAAGGCCGCUCUCUUCCAUCUACACUACCGAAUAGCGUUAUGCUUGAUGAGACUCUGCUGGCCCUAGCAGGUCCACCGACUGCUGCUUAUGGAAGCACUGGCUGGGGUCCUGCUUCUGGCGUACGACCUCCACAAGGGAUGCCUGGUGUACAGCCAGUUGCACAUCCUGGAUUAAGAUCUCCUAUGCAGGGGGCAUUACCUCAGUCUGACCGAGCGAUGCAAUUUAAUCAGCAAAAUGCUAGAGCAACAACAUCAGUGAAUAAUUCUCAUAUGGACCAACUAAGUAAUGGGGAGCAGAAUAUGUCGGAGUCAAAGGGAGAAGAAACAGCAGCAGAAGAGAAUAAGGAUGAAAGCAAGGACAAGAUGCUUCUGGAUUCUAAGGAGAAGCUUGAAUUCUACCGCACAAAAAUGCAGGAUCUUGUUUUGUAUAAAAGUAGAUGUGAUAACCGGCUUAAUGAAAUCACUGAAAGGGCAUUGGCUGAUAAACGUGAGGCCGAGCUUCUUGGCAAA